CUUGAAAGUUUAGUCAUUGUUGUCGUCUUGGGUGAUGUGUGCAGAACUACAGGAGCUCACUGCCAAAAGAGGAAAUAGAGGAGAGCGUAGGGGAGAGGGACGGAAGGAGCAAUUCUCUGGUAUCCAUCCACCCAUCCCUGCCUUUCUCUCUUCAACCCCCAUGUUUAUGGUUUGGUGAGUCCUUCAUACCACCCAUAAUGCUUUGCAUUGGCGCAGGCUGGGAAGGGGGGGUGUAUGGGCUCACAAGUUGUUGUUGUUG
This 259-nucleotide long non-coding RNA is filed under the name Bos taurus (domestic cattle). RNAcentral's name for it is "long non-coding RNA NONBTAT021530". Lineage: Eukaryota; Metazoa; Chordata; Mammalia; Artiodactyla; Bovidae. The record is from RNAcentral.